This 599-nucleotide ribosomal RNA is filed under the name uncultured bacterium. RNAcentral's name for it is "bacterial SSU rRNA". It matches the Rfam family "Bacterial small subunit ribosomal RNA", at positions 827 to 1429 of the family's 1533-position model. The record is from RNAcentral.
AUUCCACGAGUUCCGUGCCGCAGCUAACGCAUUAAGCGCCCCGCCUGGGGAGUACGGCCGCAAGGCUAAAACUCAAAGGAAUUGACGGGGGCCCGCACAAGCGGCGGAGCAUGCGGAUUAAUUCGAUGCAACGCGAAGAACCUUACCAAGGCUUGACAUACACCGGACACAUCCAGAGAUGGGUGCUUCUUCGGACUGGUGUACAGGUGGUGCAUGGUUGUCGUCAGCUCGUGUCGUGAGAUGUUGGGUUAAGUCCCGCAACGAGCGCAACCCUCGUUCUAUGUUGCCAGCACGUGAUGGUGGGGACUCAUAGGAGACUGCCGGGGUCAACUCGGAGGAAGGUGGGGAUGACGUCAAAUCAUCAUGCCCCUUAUGUCUUGGGCUUCACGCAUGCUACAAUGGCCGGUACAAAGGGCUGCGAUACCGCGAGGUGGAGCGAAUCCCAAAAAACCGGUCUCAGUUCGGAUUGGGGUCUGCAACUCGACCCCAUGAAGUCGGAGUCGCUAGUAAUCGCAGAUCAGCAACGCUGCGGUGAAUACGUUCCCGGGCCUUGUACACACCGCCCGUCAAGUCACGAAAGUCGGUAACACCCGAAGCCG